This is a non-coding RNA of Acanthosepion pharaonis, 114 nucleotides long. Lineage: Eukaryota; Metazoa; Mollusca; Cephalopoda; Sepiida; Sepiidae. The record is from the annotation of a GenBank genome assembly.
UUACGGCCACAUCACGUUGAAACAGUGGUUCCCGUACAAUCAGCCAAGUUAAGCAACAUCGAGCCUAGUCAGUAUCGAGAUGGGUGACCGCUUGGAAAUACCAACUGCUGUAAG